RNAcentral lists this ribosomal RNA (460 nucleotides) under uncultured bacterium. Its description in RNAcentral is "partial 16S ribosomal RNA". It matches the Rfam family "Bacterial small subunit ribosomal RNA", at positions 338 to 795 of the family's 1533-position model. The record is from RNAcentral.
CCUACGGGCGGCAGCAGUGAGGAAUAUUGGUCAAUGGACGAGAGUCUGAACCAGCCAAGUAGCGUGAAGGAUGACUGCCCUAUGGGUUGUAAACUUCUUUUAUAUGGGAAUAAAAUGUUCCACGUGUGGGAUUUUGUAUGUACCAUAUGAAUAAGGAUCGGCUAACUCCGUGCCAGCAGCCGCGGUAAUACGGAGGAUCCGAGCGUUAUCCGGAUUUAUUGGGUUUAAAGGGAGCGUAGGUGGAUUUGUAAGUCAGUUGUGAAAGUUUGCGGCUCAACCGUAAAAUUGCAGUUGAAACUGGCAGUCUUGAGUACAGUAGAGGUGGGCGGAAUUCGUGGUGUAGCGGUGAAAUGCUUAGAUAUCACGAAGAACUCCGAUUGCGAAGGCAGUUCACUGGACUGCAACUGACACUGAGGCUCGAAAGUGUGGGUAUCAAACAGGAUUAGAUACCCGGGUAGUC